This 489-nucleotide ribosomal RNA is filed under the name uncultured bacterium. Its description in RNAcentral is "partial 16S ribosomal RNA". It matches the Rfam family "Bacterial small subunit ribosomal RNA", at positions 28 to 507 of the family's 1533-position model. The record is from RNAcentral.
GACGAACGCUGGCGGCGUGCUUAACACAUGCCAGUCGUACGGUAAGGCCCCUAUCUUGGUGGGGUUGCUCGAGUGGCGAACGGGGGAGUAACACUUCGUUGCCCUGCCCUUUACUUCGGGAUAAGCUUGGUAAACUGGUUCUAAUUCCGUUUUGGACCUUGGUUUUGUGUCUUUUGGUGGACCGUUUAUUGUUUUUGUGCAGGAUGAGCUCGCGGCCUAUCAGCUUGUUGGUGGGUUAAUGGCCUACCAAGGCGUCGACGGGUAGCCGGGCUGAGUGGGUGGACGGCCACAUGGGGACUGAGAUACGGGCCAGACUGCUACGGGAGGGAGCAGUAGGGAAUAUUGCACAAUGGGCGAAAGCAUGAUGCAGCGAAGCCGCGUGGGGGAUGACGGCCUUCGGGUUGUAAACUCCUUUCGUUAGGGACGAAGCCGCACUUUUUUUGGGUGUGGUGACGGUACCUUUGUUAAGAAGCACCGGCUAACUACGUG